UGAAGAGCAUCGAAUCCGAGUCAGGAGU
This 28-nucleotide non-coding RNA is filed under the name Mus musculus (house mouse). Lineage: Eukaryota; Metazoa; Chordata; Mammalia; Rodentia; Muridae. The record is from RNAcentral.